This is a long non-coding RNA of Pan paniscus (pygmy chimpanzee), 603 nucleotides long. Lineage: Eukaryota; Metazoa; Chordata; Mammalia; Primates; Hominidae. The record is from Ensembl.
CUCAAAAUUCCAAAGGAAAAUUAUUUCCAAGAUAAAACUCCAAACAUCAUGAAACUAUAUGACUAAGGGAGAAAAAAGACAUUUUCAGAUAAGCAAGAUCUCAAAUAAUUUGCCUCCCAUGCAACCUUUCUCAUGAAACUACUUGAGGAUGUGCUCCAUCAAAACAAGAUAGUAAACCAAGACAUAGGAAGAUAUGAAGUACAGGAAACAGAGUCAACACAGGAAGAAGAGUAAGGAAUUUCCCUCCAGGAUGGCAAAGGAGAUCCCAGGGUGAUAGCUGCACCAGAAGUCGAGAGUACCCAGUCUAGAUUGGAGCUGUGUGAUUCAAGAGACAGACAUGUUAAAGGAUGUUUGAGCAAUACCCCUGAAGCCAUGGAAUGGUUUUGUGAAUCUGAGGACAGAAUGGCCAGCUCUUAUUCUAUGGCUGACCUUUCUGCCAGCAAGUUUUCCUUGUGUUUAAAAGCACUACGAUUGAAGCAUAAAAGACAAAUGGAAAGAUGAAAUACAGAAGCCCCACACUUACAAGCCCUUCCAUAUGCCAGGCAUGUUCCUUAGGUUAUCAUAUUUAGCCCUCAUGGCCUCCUUCCCUUUGUCUGCAACAUC